CGCGCGACGUUUGUAAUCCAACACAAGAAAAAAAAUCGACGCUCCUUCAAAGCAGUUGACUCAUGUUUUGAAAACACUUUUGUGCCAAAAAAAAAACACUUGGGAGUUAUGACAUUUUUUUUUCCUGGAGCGUAGAGGCAUCGUAAUAUCAAGGCUAAUCUUUUGAGAGCUCAGGAGAUGACGAAGAAGUCUGGUAAGUAUGUACAUAUUUAUUUGUUCGACCAACG
This 227-nucleotide long non-coding RNA is filed under the name Brassica rapa (field mustard). RNAcentral's name for it is "long non-coding RNA (BRAP_LNC004610)". Lineage: Eukaryota; Viridiplantae; Streptophyta; Magnoliopsida; Brassicales; Brassicaceae. The record is from RNAcentral.